UACGUAGGGGGCUAGCGUUGUCCGGAAUCAUUGGGCGUAAAGCGCGUGUAGGCGGUUUGGUAAGUCUGCUGUGAAAGUCCAGGGCUCAACCCUGGAAUGCCGGUGGAUACUGUCAGACUAGAGUGCGGAAGAGGCGAGUGGAAUUCCCGGUGUAGCGGUGAAAUGCGCAGAUAUCGUAAGGAAGACCAGUGGCGAAGGCGGGUCUCUGGACAGUUCCUGACGCUGAGGCACGAAGGCCAGGGGAGCGAACAGG
This 253-nucleotide ribosomal RNA is filed under the name uncultured bacterium. Its description in RNAcentral is "partial 16S ribosomal RNA". It matches the Rfam family "Bacterial small subunit ribosomal RNA", at positions 524 to 776 of the family's 1533-position model. The record is from RNAcentral.